This 122-nucleotide non-coding RNA is filed under the name Myxococcus stipitatus. Its description in RNAcentral is "SAM-I-IV sequence". It matches the Rfam family "SAM-I/IV (S-adenosyl methionine) riboswitch aptamer". From Rfam's summary of the family: It is found upstream of a number of genes which code for proteins involved in methionine or cysteine biosynthesis. The record is from RNAcentral. Lineage: Bacteria; Pseudomonadati; Myxococcota; Myxococcia; Myxococcales; Myxococcaceae.
GUUCAGCAUCAAGAGCGGCCCUCGUUUCGACGGGGGCCCGACAACCUGGAGACGGACCUCCAAGGUGUCCAAACGAUGCGGUCCAGGGAGCAGGUGCUCCACGGACAAACCAAGUGUCCGAG